Macaca mulatta (Rhesus monkey) is the source of this 4825-nucleotide long non-coding RNA. The record is from Ensembl. Lineage: Eukaryota; Metazoa; Chordata; Mammalia; Primates; Cercopithecidae.
AUGUCAGUUUUCUACAAGCAGAAUCACCUGACACUUUUUGUUUGUUUUCCCUUUAGGGUUUUUGUCCCUCUCUUAAAGCAAGUGUUCAGAGUCAUGAGCAGAUGGAAGAUACAGGCGGAGGCGUCUUACCUGUCACCGUUGGUAUGUCUGGUUGAAACCUGCGACAAGAUCAUGACCUUCCCAAAGCCAUCUAGGAGUACAGAGAAAAAAUGCACAGUGCAUGAAAACUGUGAAAUGGAGUCCCACCACCAGCUAUGGUGGGGAAAAGCCUUUGAACGCCACCUGGCUCUGACAUUCUUCCUUUAGGUGAUGAAAAUGAGCCCUGGAAGUCUUUGCAGGGGCCUCUGGGCAGGUACGCCAGGGUGUGCAGGUGCACACCACUGACCCAGCCGUCCCUCUUCUAGGAAUCAGUCCUGAUGCAACUCUCAGCAACCUGUGCCGAGAUCUCUGUGGAAGCAUUGUUUGCAAGCGCAGAUAAUCAGAAACCACCCAAAAAAAUUAUAAAGAAGACAUUGGGCAAAUCAACAAUGGUAUGCUGAGAUUUGGAUUGCCAAAUUGACCUUGAAGUGAAGGAGGCAGAUUUGCUUGUAAUAACACUGAAAGUGAUACAAGAUCUACUUGAAGUGCAGAAUAUCAUGUUCACCAUGAGACACUGGUAAAUAAUGUUUUCAUGUAAGUAUAUAUAUGUCAUCAUUAGGCUGAAGGCAGCAAAGAGCGUGGUUGAGUCCAAGUGUUAUGGAAUAAGACUGCUUGGGUGCAAACCUUGGCUCCUACACUAGCCAGGUGAGGAUGGGGGUUACUGGACUAAUUUUUUUUUUUUUUUUUUUGAGACAGGGUCUUGCUCUGUCAUCCAGGCUGGAGUGAAGUGGCACAAUCACGGGUCACAACAGCCUCAAACUGCUGGGGUCAAGCAGUCCUCCCACUUCAACCUCCUGAGCAGCUGGGACUACAGUCAUGCCACCACCAUGCCCAGUUAAUUUUUAAAUUUUUCGGUAGAGAUGGUAUCUCUCACUAUGUCACCCAGGAUGGUCUUGAACUCCUGGUCUCAAGUCAUCCUCCCGCCUCAGCCUCCCAAAAUGCCGGGAUUACGAGCCUGAGCCACCAUGCCUAGCCACGUUUGACUUCUUGCCUCUCAGGAGUAAGGGCUCGGAGGGAGCCUGAUAUCCUGGGUUUGAGUCCUGGUUUGCUAUUUCCUUCCUACGUGAUCUGGACCAAGUGACUCAUUCCGAGUGUGUCUCAAUUUCUCCACAUGUAAGCUGGACGUGCAGAUGGUACUUACCUUAGUGAGCGGUUGCAUGCUGCCUUCUCAGGAGGUCUGGGGCACAUGAGGCCCCAGGAGUGUUAGUUAUGCUGAAGCCUGCAAGAAAAUGCUGAAGAAAUGCACACAGCCAACAUUGGUUAUCUCUGAGGAAUGUUUACUGUUGGACUCACAUAUUUCAUAGCAUUUUUGAAAGUAGGAAUAAGUGAGUCUUGCAAUUAGGAAAAAAAAAAAUCAUGCACUGCAAAAGAAUACCUUUGCAAAAGGCCCUCUUGGAGAGGUAACUAUGUCCUUCUAGUACAUUCCCUAGAAUAAAGGGCCGGUGCACUCAAGCAGCCUGGAGGCCACCUCUCUGCGUCACCAUCUCUACCCUACGGUGCACUGGGCUUUCCAUUGUCACUGUUCUUACCCCUGGGGGCUGUCCCUUGAUAGGUCAGCCUCUCCCACAGUCCUGGGAGCUGUCCAAGGACAGGGAUUAGAGCUAAUUGAUCCUCUCUGCAUCUCUGGGUCCAGGUGUAGUGGUUGGUACACAGUAGUAGGUGCCUAAUGAAGGUCUGCUGAGUACUUGAGGGAUUACUGAAGGAAGUUACUUCUGUAGCCUGACAAUAAACACGCUCCCUUCUGACCCCUCAGGAAUGCUCUUGGCACCCGUUCCCAAGUCAGGCCCUAAAAAUGAACACUGUGUUAAUGACACAACAAAACAAGACAUUCCAGACUCAGCCUCGGGCGGCUGACUCUUGGGGCUGCCGUGCCUUUGGCCAGCAGCUGCAGAGGCUGUCCUCAGGGAGGGGACCUCCAGCCCUUCCAGUCCAGAGCCACAGCCUCCUGGGACAGGCAGCAGACCAUGAAAAUGAGGGGUGCAGCCGUGGCCACAGAUUCACUUUGUAUAUUAACAGGAAGAGUUUUCCUUUCCAUACAUGCAUCAGUGUGCCCUCCCCCGAAACAAACAAAUAAACAAACAAGCAAAGAUAAAAGAAAGAAAAGAGGAGGGACAGAGGGUGGGACAUGAGAGGGAGGGAGGAAUGGAGGCAGAGAAAGGAAGAGAAAGAAAGCAAUAAAGAGAGAGAAAAAAAAGAAAGGAGAAGAAAAGAACAAGGGAGGGAGAGAGGGAGCAAGGAAGGAAGGAAGAAAGAAAGGGAGGAAGGGAGGGAGAUGUACCUUUUGUAGACAGACCCUCUAUCUGACUCCCCCUGACAUUACUUUAGAGAGAUUAAAUAUUGAGCAUUAUUCAUCUUUCAUUAAAAACACCAAGACAAGCUUGUGGGCCAUAUGAUGUCUGCAACUUCAAAAUUCCUGAAGCUCUUUUCCAUUUUACAGAUGAGUAAAUGGAGAGGCUACAGUUUGCCUAAGGUCACUGGGAGUGAGUGAGUGUCCACCAGAGAGAUUUCUGACUUCCCAGUCCAGACCCUUCCCUCUGCUCUGGCCUUUCGAGGCCAAGGGUGUGAAUACCCCGGAGGCAGGAUCUGUCAUGGGAGAAGCUGGACCUACCUGCCUCCUUCAGAUCCCCAGUCCCACCUCUUCCCAGGAACCCACUGUCAUAGUGGGAGUCCACGUGGCCUUUUUAACAGAUGCUGCCAAAAGCAGUGCUUCCAGCCCCAGGAGGGAGAUCAGGGAUGAGAGACUCAGGUUACUGCAGAGAUAGUGGGGUCAGGGAAGACUGGGGCUUCUCUGAAAUUAUAGGUCAAGGGAAGGGAUACUGAUGCUGAUGUCAGCAUUGGAGCUAGACCAAUGCGACUGGGAAUUUCAGUUCUUUUUCUUCUCAGCGGGGUGAAUUUUGACAAGUUAUAGAACCAGUCUGGGCCUCAGUAUACUAAGCUCUAAAAUGGGCUAACACAGAAGGCUGUAUGCAAAGUCAGUUUAAUAUAAAUGAGGCCCUAGCCCCAAGUAGGUACUCCUUGGCACAAGAAUUCUGGCUGGGCUGAACUUGGCUUUUGUAGGAGAAAAUUGAGUUCUGUGGGUUUAGGAGGUGAGUCAGCAUUUGGCUGUGGGUCAGUACAAGGAGAAGUUCUGCCCUUCAUGUCAAGAUAAAGGCCAGCUCAGGCCUUAUAUACUCAGCUCCCCAGAUGUACAGGGCAGGGAGAGGGGUUUUUUGGGGAAGGCUUUAGGCUAGGGUUCUUUCUAAGAACAUAGGCCCAGGAAACACGGCCUCUGGUCCUGCCUCUGCCUCAAUUAGCUGUGUGACUUUGGAAAAGUCACCCAACCUCUCUGAAACCCAGUUUUCAGAACUGGGUUCUGCAGGGAAAAUAGCAACUCGCAGGCUGCUUGUAUAGAGCAACUGGGUGUGGACAAUGCUAGUGCAUAGGGAGCCCAUAACAAAUGUGACUCCCUCCAUCGGCCCAGCUCCACCAAAUAUUAGCUGAGGGGAAGCCCCUUCCAGGGCCUCACUUUCUCCCUGCCUGGAUUCCUGUUUGUGUCCAAGUAAUGUUUCCAAAUGGUAGUUUUUCAUGUACCACAGUUAUGAUUUUUGCCAUAAUCCAAGUACACUUUUUAAAACUCAUUCUUCUAUAUUUUUGAAAAUUUAAUGGAUCCCUUUGUAUAAAUUGAAAUAUAAAAAUUAAAGGAAAACCAGUGUAUAGCUGUUCUAAGUGGAGAAGCAGUUUGGCUGGCCUGGGUAAAAAUAAACACAAUCAAAAGCAAGCAAGAUAUUAACUUCCAGCUAGAUCCAGCUGCCUGGGGAGGUGCCCAGCCCAGAGGCUAUUCUUUCCAGAUUAAAAGGAGAGUAGAGGAAGUGUUAGCAUCUGCCCUGGUGGGAAACUGAGGCCUGCUCCUCGAUGUAACCAGAAGGAUCAAAGGAACUGGGAAGAAAUUUUGUCUGCUGUGGUUUGAUUUUAUUUAACACCUUAUGCAUGUGCCUCAAAAAUGAUGUUGGUGAACCCCAUCUGCAUCCCUCUAAGGCUGCUCUCUGGGAUAGGCAGGCCUUGGUGGUCUUGUUGGUCAUUUCCUCUGUAAAAGGUGAGUGGGUCUGGAAGGUACUCCUAUGGGGUGGGGGAAAGGGGAAGGCAGAGUGAAAUGGACGACAUAACGGAUGUGUGGUUGGUAAGGUGGGGUACGGACCACCUAGAAUUCAGCCCGUUCUUUAGUACGUCCCAGCUGACAAAGAGUUUCCUCUCAGCAGAAGCCCGUGGGCCAAGCACAGCCUGAUCCCCAUCACGUCUGUUCUGGGCGGCCAUGAUGCUUGGCUGAGGGCAGCAGGAAGUGAGUGGGCGUCAGGCGGAAGUCUUUCUGAAGGGCUGUAGGGUGGUGUAAAUGACAGCCAUAACUCACAGUAACAAGAUCGGGACAGAAAUACUGAGAUGCUAGUCACAUGAAGCGUGUGCUCAGGGAGGAGAAGACGACUGGGACCCUAACAGAGAAAAUAACCACAACUAAUGAUCCAGACAAUGGCUUCACUGGUGGCAUAGGCAUGGUCUAGGAAAUAAAACUGGGAGAUCCACCAAAUCUGUUUUUUCCCAUCCUAAAGCUUGCAAGAAGCCUCCCACACAAAGUUUAAGUAACUUUUAUUUUGUCACAGAUGUAUUUUGAUGUUAAAAUUGCUGCCCUUUAUUGGGUCCUGACCGUUGUAUGAGC